Long non-coding RNA from Lathyrus oleraceus (garden pea), 579 nucleotides. RefSeq lists it as uncharacterized. The record is from RefSeq and is a predicted model, not a curated record. The transcript has 2 exons. Lineage: Eukaryota; Viridiplantae; Streptophyta; Magnoliopsida; Fabales; Fabaceae.
AGACCGAACUUAUCCAUAUUAUCCCCUCUCCCUACUUAGCUUAAUGUGAAAGGUUGUAGAAGAAAGGGAAAAAAAGUGCCGGUGUGCACUUCCACCCGGCCGCGAGGGUGGUUUCCUUGCGGGGCCGACCGGCGGCGGUCCUCCCUUCUCCAAGGGGUGUUGUGAUUUUUCAUCUUUCCCAAUUCUUCCAAGCUCCAUUGAUGCUUCUUCAAGGUUUUGAGCAAGGUAAACAAAGUGGUGGUAUAAUUAUCUUGAAGGCCCAAGGGAAGAACGAGAAAAAGUCGUGAAAAGAGAGCUUGAAGGAUGGAAAGUGUUGAAAAUCCUUUCAUGAAACAUGUUCAUGACAUAAUUGAUUUUUCAUGAAAAUUGUGGACUCUUAUGAUCAAAUGAAUGUGGGAUAGGUCUGGGAAUAUUUAGGAUCCAAAAUUGAGUCAUUGGUCAAAAGUUGACCAAAAAGUCAACAAUACCAAAAUGAUGUAAUUUUUUUUAUCUUUUUUCCUUGUAAUCCCUUAUUUUCACUUGUGUCUCAAACAAUAAGCCAUGUAUCAUGGAUAAAUAAAAUAUUAUGUGAAUUCUCAA